This 229-nucleotide ribosomal RNA is filed under the name uncultured bacterium. RNAcentral's name for it is "partial 16S ribosomal RNA". It matches the Rfam family "Bacterial small subunit ribosomal RNA", at positions 568 to 796 of the family's 1533-position model. The record is from RNAcentral.
UCCGUAGGUGGAUAAUUAAGUCAGAGGUGAAAUCCUGCAGCUCAACUGUAGAAUUGCCUUUGAUACUGGUUAUCUUGAGUCAUUAUGAAGUAGUUAGAAUAUGUAGUGUAGCGGUGAAAUGCAUAGAUAUUACAUAGAAUACCAAUUGCGAAGGCAGAUUACUAAUAAUGUACUGACACUGAUGGACGAAAGCGUGGGGAGCGAACAGGAUUAGAUACCCUGGUAGUCC